Molecule: ribosomal RNA, 386 nt
Filed under: uncultured bacterium
Lineage: Bacteria
Description: bacterial SSU rRNA
Rfam family: Bacterial small subunit ribosomal RNA
Source: RNAcentral
GACGAACGCUGGCGGCGUGCUUAACACAUGCAAGUCGAACGGUAAGGCCCUUCGGGGUACACGAGUGGCGAACGGGUGAGUAACACGUGGGUGAUCUGCCCUGCACUUCGGGAUAAGCCUGGGAAACUGGGUCUAAUACCGGAUAGGACCAUGGACUUCACGGUUUGUGGUGGAAAGCUUUUUGCGGUGUGGGAUGGGCCCGCGGCCUAUCAGCUUGUUGGUGGGGUAAUGGCCUACCAAGGCGACGACGGGUUAGCCGGCCUGAGAGGGUGUCCGGCCACACUGGGACUGAGAUACGGCCCAGACUCCUACGGGAGGCAGCAGUGGGGAAUAUUGCACAAUGGGCGCAAGCCUGAUGCAGCGACGCCGCGUGAGGGAUGACGGCC